RNAcentral lists this ribosomal RNA (253 nucleotides) under uncultured bacterium. RNAcentral describes it as "partial 16S ribosomal RNA". It matches the Rfam family "Bacterial small subunit ribosomal RNA", at positions 524 to 776 of the family's 1533-position model. The record is from RNAcentral.
UACGUAGGGUGCGAGCGUUGUCCGGAAUUAUUGGGCGUAGAGGGUGCGUAGGCGGGUCUUUAAGUCAGGGGUGAAAUCCUGGAGCUCAACUCCAGAACUGCCUUUGAUACUGAAGAUCUUGAGUUCGGGAGAGGUGAGUGGAACUGCGAGUAUAGAGGUGAAAUUCGUAGAUAUUCGCAAGAACACCAGUGGCGAAGGCGGCUCACUGGCCCGAUACUGACGCUGAGGCACGAAAGCGUGGGGAGCAAACAGG